This 250-nucleotide ribosomal RNA is filed under the name uncultured bacterium. Its description in RNAcentral is "partial 16S ribosomal RNA". It matches the Rfam family "Bacterial small subunit ribosomal RNA", at positions 524 to 773 of the family's 1533-position model. The record is from RNAcentral.
UACGGAGGGUGCAAGCGUUGUUCGGAAUUAUUGGGCGUAAAGAGCGUGUAGGCGGUCGGGUAAGUCAGAUGUGAAAUCCCUUGGCUUAACCAAGGAAGUGCAUUUGAAACUGCCCGGCUUGAGUACGGGAGGGGGAAGUGGAAUUCCCGGUGUAGAGGUGAAAUUCGUAGAUAUCGGGAGGAACACCGGUGGCGAAGGCGGCUUCCUGGACCGAUACUGACGCUGAGACGCGAAAGCGUGGGGAGCAAAC